GAAGAUAGAAGUUACUGUAAGAAGUUCUUGGUUUUUGUGGUUGUUAACUUCCUGUGAAGUUAUAGAAGUUUUUGGUUUAUGUGUUUGAUAAUAUCAUGGGACGUUAAAGACGUUCCUAGUUUCUUUGUUUGAUAAACUCCUGAGAAGUUAAAAAAGUUUUUGGCUUCUGUGUUUGAUAACCUCUUGGGAAGUUAAAGAAGUUU
RNAcentral lists this long non-coding RNA (203 nucleotides) under Amborella trichopoda. RNAcentral's name for it is "long non-coding RNA (ATRI_LNC003750)". The record is from RNAcentral. Lineage: Eukaryota; Viridiplantae; Streptophyta; Magnoliopsida; Amborellales; Amborellaceae.